CCAGCUUCCCGAGUUCCCUUUGCUGCCCCUGUCUGCUCUAGGUUAGGAGAAAGGCCCUGAUAUUCGGGCCCCCACAAUUCACAGUCCCGCUGGCAUUGGGAAUGCCACUGGAUGGCAGCAUUUUCCCGUGCAACUCUGCAGAGGUAGGGGAGAUGAUCAAUAAGGGAAAAAAUGGUUAAAAAAAAAUGAGUGCGGAGGAAAGAAGAAACCAUUUUGGAGGUUACCACUUUGAAGACCAGCAUGUAUCUUCACUUCAGUGUAACUUAUGCAAAUCUUUGCAGUAUUGCAACUCUUAAAUCCCUUGCAGAGAAGAAGAAAGCCAGCAGAAAGCCAUCCAUUCCAGCGACUCUACAAGAGAGAAGUGACUGCAGAAAAUUGGAAUGCAAGAUUCAGAAAACAGACUUUGUAUAAGAUUAAGAUUGUGCUGAGAACUGGUAGUUGGGGAACAGUACUGCACUAGCACAGAAACGUGGCUUUUGUAUUGGAGCCAAUGCAUAACUGAUAUAGAGUAAGCUGAGUCUACAUACACAGUCUGCAAAGGACUGUAGGAAUAAAUGUACCUUUACUUAUCUGAAAUAAUCCA
This 583-nucleotide long non-coding RNA is filed under the name Anas platyrhynchos platyrhynchos (common mallard). RNAcentral's name for it is "lncRNA (ENSAPLG00000026788.1)". The record is from RNAcentral. Lineage: Eukaryota; Metazoa; Chordata; Aves; Anseriformes; Anatidae.